Molecule: long non-coding RNA, 241 nt
Organism: Sinocyclocheilus grahami
Lineage: Eukaryota; Metazoa; Chordata; Actinopteri; Cypriniformes; Cyprinidae
Exons: 3
Source: RefSeq, a predicted model, not a curated record
CCCUGAGUUUAGCCCAGAGAGGGUUCCAGUCCCCGAGUUUAGCCCCGAGAGGGUUCCAGUCCCCGAGUUUAGCCCAGAGAGUUUUCCAGUCCCCAAGUUUGGCCCAAAGAGGGUUUCAGUCCCCGAGUUUAGCCCAGAGAGGGUUCCAGUCCCCGAGUUUAGCCCAGAGAGUUUUCCAGUCCCCAAGUUUGGCCCAAAGAGGGUUUCAGUCCCCGAGUUUAGCCCAGAGAGGGUUCCGGUC